Long non-coding RNA from Sinocyclocheilus grahami, 1991 nucleotides. RefSeq lists it as uncharacterized. Lineage: Eukaryota; Metazoa; Chordata; Actinopteri; Cypriniformes; Cyprinidae. The transcript has 5 exons. The record is from RefSeq and is a predicted model, not a curated record.
AUUAAUCCUCUUGCAGCAGAUGCUCGUCUGUCAAUCAACCUGACGCGGGGGCGCGCGCUCGGACUUGACUUGAGAGCGCGAGAGAGAGAACACAGCAGGUGCGCGAGGGAUCCGCGCCGUCAUUUAGCGAUGCAGGAAUGGUAAAUAAAGCCGUUUAUUGAGCUAAUCAUGUCUUGACAGCGGCCACAGGCUUGUUUUGAACCACCAACGUUGCAUUUGUUUACCGGACAACGCAAUGCCGUCGCAGGACGAGGCUGAGGCGGUAAAUGAAGACGACAGUCCGCCUCCGGUUCCACCGCGAGCGGCUCCUCAGCGACACUCACCGGCGUCCGCCGCCGUACCUGAGCGCCGGGCCAAGUGUGUGCUGGCCGGGGGUGGCUAGGGUUGUGGUGGAUGGAAGACCAGUUCAACUUCAACUGUGUGACAGGACAGGACAGGACAGGAUGAGUUUGAGCGCCUCCGUCCUCUCUGUUACCGUGACGCUGGUGUCUUCCUGCUCUGCUACAGCGUGGUCCUUCCAUCCUCCUUCAGGAGCGUGACGUCCCGCUGGGCCCCCGAGGUCCAUCACCUCUGUCCGGGCGUUCCCAUCAUCCUCGUGGGCACCCGGAGCGACCUGCGGGAGACUGAUCAGACUCGCGGAUGGCCAGGAGAAACCGGUGAGCGGAGACGACGCCCGCCUGUGCGCCCGGAGCAUCAGCGCCGUCACGUUUGCUGAAUGCUCAGCGCUGACGCAGAAGAACCUGAAGGAAGUGUUCGAUGGCGCCAUCUUGGCUGGCACACGGCACACGGAGGCGGCGGCAUGGCCAAGGAUGCAUGCGCUGAGAGAAAAAACUCCAGAUAAAAUCAGGCAGCUCUCAGAAACAUGAUGGAGGAAACUGAGCUGCGUCCAGAGCUUUGACCUUCAGUGACCCUUCAGUGACGGAGAAUCCACUUACGCCACACUGCGUCACCUGUUACGUGUUGUAUCUCCUGUGACCCAGAAGUGUUUGUGUCGUAUGGCCCAGUACCUUGCAUUCAUAGCAGUGGAUUAGCUGAUCCUGUGAACAGACUGAAGAUCAAGACUGAAGGAGAGGUAUUUGAUGUCUGCGUUGCACCUGUUGGACUCCGCGAGGCAGUCCGGAGCCGCAAUAGAUCCUGUAAUGGGUCGAGACAGAAGCCACAUGUGGGAAUUAGGCGGGCAGAUGGCGACUGGUUUUCCCCUCACAGGAUCUCUUGACCUCCACCUGCUGCAGAAAUCGUGCAGGAAUAACAUCAGAACAACAGGCCUUGAGAGCUGAACCUGGGUGAUUUUACCAGUAUGACUCAGUUUUUCUGAUCAUUGUUCAGCUGGUAUUCUGGAGCGAUGACAAUCGAGAGUGUGACUUACAUUUUUUUUUUCUUCUAAAAACAUGACUGGAAACAAUAUUUCUUACUCCGCGUAUUUUAAUACACUGUUGUUGUCAAUAGUAUCCAUCAAUAUAAGGCUUUAAUUGUCUCUCUAGUAGUAGUGCACUUAUGGAGCUUCACCUGUAGAGGACACUAUUGAGUUACGUCCUGAAAAUCAUGUGAACACAAGAGGUCAAGGCCAUCCAACCUGAAGCAUCUUCUGUGUGGGUUCUGCUGGGAUGGCAUUAAUGCUUUCACUGCCAUGUGGCUAUUGGCAGGGAUGUUUUAAGUCCGAGUUAAUGUCUGUAUGUCAUUGAAAUCAAUAAAAUCAAGUCAAAUUAAGCGUCUGUAUCAGCAUUUUGCAAAUGCUGCAGGAUCUUCUUUUCUUCACUAUCUUCAGAUUUGCUCAGUGCUUGUUCAGCUGGCGUUUUGGUGGUUUUUAGUAGGUGUACGAAGACGGUUCUCCUCAAGUUCACACAGGUGUCCUUGCAGAAUGAUCCACACAAAGUGGCACAAUACAUACUGUGAUUAAUUUCAAUGCAAGAUCUGUUGGUUUACGCUUUCAAAAAAACAUUAAUUUUGUCAAAUGUUUAGCUUGAUAAGUUCUUGUACUAGUUUCUUUUACC